This is a long non-coding RNA of Neogale vison (American mink), 101 nucleotides long. RefSeq lists it as uncharacterized. The transcript is spliced from 3 exons. Lineage: Eukaryota; Metazoa; Chordata; Mammalia; Carnivora; Mustelidae. The record is from RefSeq and is a predicted model, not a curated record.
GAGAGGAUGUGGGUGUACAAUGGUGUGUCACCUCAUGAUUUGAUGUCUGUGUAUAUUGCAACAUGAGCACCACCUUAAGUCUAGACGGCCCUGUGAAGAUG